CCCUUAGAUGUUCUGGGCCGCACGCGCGCUACAAUGGUCUUCGCAAACGGAUGCAUUCUCGAAGGAGAAUGCCAAUCUUGGAAUCUAUGCCUUGGUCGGGACAGUUGCUUGCAAUUUUUCGACUCGAACCAGGAAUUCCUUGUAAUCGUGAUUCAUCACAUCACGAUGAAUACGUCCCUGCCCUUUGUACACACCGCCCGUCGCUCCUACCGAUCGAAGAGUUAGGUGAAUUGUUUUGAUCGAUAAGAUUUGACUAUGGUCAACUCUCGUUGUGAAAUUCUCUGAAUCUGACUGUUUAGAGGAAGGAAAAGUCGUAACA
Molecule: ribosomal RNA, 319 nt
Filed under: uncultured eukaryote
Lineage: Eukaryota
Description: partial 18S ribosomal RNA
Rfam family: Eukaryotic small subunit ribosomal RNA
Source: RNAcentral